AUACGUAGGUGACAAGCGUUAUCCGGAUUUACUGGGCGUAAAGGGGGUGUAGGCGGUCUUGCAAGUCAGAAGUGAAAUUCCUGAGCUCAACUCGGGCGCUGCUUCUGAAACUGCAGGACUUGAGUGCUGGAGGGGAUAGCGGAAUUCCUAGUGGAGCGGUAAAAUGCGCAGAGAUUAGGAGGAACAACGGUGGCGAAGGCGGCUAUCUUGCCAGUAACUGACGUUGAGGCGCAAAAGCGUGGAGAGCAAACAGGAUUAUAUCCCCUAGUAGUCCACGCCAUAAACGAUGAAUUCUAAGUGUAGGGGGAAUCGACUCCCUCUGUGCCUCAGUUAACACAAUAAGUAUUCCGCCUGGGGAGUUCGGCCGCAAGGUUGAAACUCAAAUGAAUUGACGUGG
Molecule: ribosomal RNA, 397 nt
Filed under: uncultured bacterium
Lineage: Bacteria
Description: partial 16S ribosomal RNA
Rfam family: Bacterial small subunit ribosomal RNA
Source: RNAcentral